RNAcentral lists this unclassified non-coding RNA (253 nucleotides) under uncultured Gammaproteobacteria bacterium. RNAcentral's name for it is "contains 16S-23S intergenic spacer region". It matches the Rfam family "Bacterial small subunit ribosomal RNA", at positions 524 to 776 of the family's 1533-position model. Lineage: Bacteria; Pseudomonadati; Pseudomonadota; Gammaproteobacteria. The record is from RNAcentral.
UACAGAGGGUGCAAGCGUUAAUCGGAAUUACUGGGCGUAAAGAGCACGUAGGCGGAUAUUUAAGUCAGAUGUGAAAGCCCUGGGCUCAACCUAGGAACUGCAUUUGAUACUGGAUGUCUAGAGUAUAGUAGAGGGAAGUGGAAUUUCCGGUGUAGCGGUGAAAUGCAUAGAUAUCGGAAGGAACACCAGUGGCGAAGGCGACUUCCUGGACUAAUACUGACGCUGAGGUGCGAAAGCGUGGGGAGCAAACAGG